Molecule: small RNA, 1041 nt
Filed under: Cryptococcus neoformans H99
Lineage: Eukaryota; Fungi; Basidiomycota; Tremellomycetes; Tremellales; Cryptococcaceae
Description: Cryptococcus neoformans var. grubii H99 hypothetical RNA
Source: RNAcentral
UUUUCCUCCAAAAAGGUCUUGCGCAGCACUUUUAUUUCACCUCUCUUCUAUCUGUGGUCUCGAAGCUUGCUGCCAGCUGCAUAAUGUGCUGUGUUUAAGGUGUGGCGGCAUGAAGAGCAGGGGAUGCUGCGGCGGGAGGGCGCAAUGGUGAGAAUGACACGCAUGCAUGCAUGAUGACACGAGCGACGUAGCAGGGACAUUCAUGCAUACGACAGCAUCGAGUGACGGUAGGAGGAAGUGAUAGCGUGAACCUUGCUGUCUCUUGCGUGCAGUACCCCGGCCGGCAGAUCACCAUGAUGUUCGCAACAUCUAAAUGCAUAUAGCAAUAUCAUAGUACAAGUAUGCACUACUCCGAGAUAAGGUGGCUGACACUACGAUACCAGAAGCCAGAGCAUGCAAGAGGCAGAAGACAACAAUAGAACAAAGAGGAAGGAGCUGAAAGCUGAAUGGCGAGAUCCGAAAGCUGCUUUAGACAGCUAUUGAGAAGAUAGACCGCCUAUACCAAGUUUCCGCCAAAGGAAUUUACUUCAGGUCGAGACAAGAUAGCAUAGUGCAAUUUACAAAACGAGAGCCAUAGGUGAUGUUUUGGACAAGUGUCUUCAUUCCUUUGCCCCUACUAAUCCGCAAACUGUAGUGUGUUGUGAUUCGUGGGACAGUGCUGUGUAUGAAGCUGCUGAGAUAGGACGCGCACAUGCUGUUCAUUCGCAACAAUACUAAUAGGACACGGUGUGUGCCUUUUGUUUUCAUGUUCAGGUACAACUUGUUGUUGUUCUCCAGGGGCGAACCGUGGUAUAUAUGAAAAAAAGGAGGAGUCGUGUAACAUGUGCUUAAGUACGAUCUUCUUUCAUCUUCUUCUCUUCUUGCUGUUCACCACCUCCUCUUCUCCACUCAUACCGGGCCCUUGAUUGUCCCUUGGGACUAAAAGAUCAACGAAGAAAUAGUUAUUUGUAACUUGUAACUCGCUGAAGUGCAUCGGUCCAUCAUCUGACAUCUGAUGCGUCUGGAGGUCGGGUUGCAAUAAUGAAUGUUAGUUGGGUUCUG